This 253-nucleotide ribosomal RNA is filed under the name uncultured bacterium. Its description in RNAcentral is "partial 16S ribosomal RNA". It matches the Rfam family "Bacterial small subunit ribosomal RNA", at positions 524 to 776 of the family's 1533-position model. The record is from RNAcentral.
UACGGGGGGGGCAAGCGUUGUUCGGAAUUACUGGGCGUAAAGGGCUCGUAGGCGGCCAACUAAGUCGGACGUGAAAUCCCUCGGCUUAACCGGGGAACUGCGUCCGAUACUGGAUGGCUUGAGUUCGGGAGAGGGAUGCGGAAUUCCAGGUGUAGCGGUGAAAUGCGUAGAUAUCUGGAGGAACACCGGUGGCGAAGGCGGCACCCUGGACCGACACUGACGCUGAGGAGCGAAAGCCAGGGGAGCAAACGGG